ACGAACGCUGGCGGCGUGCCUAAUACCUGCAAGUUGAGCGCUGAAGGUUGGUACUUGUACCAACUGGAUGAGCAGCGAACGGGUGAGUAACGCGUGGGGAAUCUGCCUUUGAGCGGGGGACAACAUUUGGAAACGAAUGCUAAUACCGCAUAAAAACUUUAAACACAAGUUUUAAGUUUGAAAGAUGCAAUUGCAUCACUCAAAGAUGAUCCCGCGUUGUAUUAGCUAGUUGGUGAGGUAAAGGCUCACCAAGGCGAUGAUACAUAGCCGACCUGAGAGGGUGAUCGGCCACAUUGGGACUGAGACACGGCCCAAACUCCUACGGGAGGCAGCAGUAGGGAAUCUUCGGCAAUGGACGAAAGUCUGACCGAGCAACGCCGCGUGAGUGAAGAAGGUUUUCGGAUCGUAAAACUCUGUUGGUAGAGAAGAACGUUGGUGAGAGUGGAAAGCUCAUCAAGUGACGGUAACUACCCAGAAAGGGACGGCUAACUACGU
Molecule: ribosomal RNA, 495 nt
Filed under: uncultured bacterium
Lineage: Bacteria
Description: partial 16S ribosomal RNA
Rfam family: Bacterial small subunit ribosomal RNA
Source: RNAcentral